RNAcentral lists this transfer RNA (72 nucleotides) under Gregarina niphandrodes. It matches the Rfam family "tRNA". Rfam says of the family: Transfer RNA (tRNA) molecules are approximately 80 nucleotides in length. Lineage: Eukaryota; Apicomplexa; Conoidasida; Eugregarinorida; Gregarinidae. The record is from Rfam by way of RNAcentral.
GCGGUCGUGGUCUAGAGGCUAUGAUGCCUGCUUCACACGCAGAAGACCCGAGUUCGAUUCUCAGCCACCUUG